Molecule: long non-coding RNA, 710 nt
Organism: Ornithorhynchus anatinus (platypus)
Lineage: Eukaryota; Metazoa; Chordata; Mammalia; Monotremata; Ornithorhynchidae
Exons: 3
Source: RefSeq, a predicted model, not a curated record
ACGUGGGGAGGAGUUUUAUGUUGCUGCGUCCUCUCCUCUGCCUCCCUCGGGAAGUAAAAAGCCUUCGAAGCGCUGGGCUGCUGGUGUUACGCUCUCCGCGUGGAGGAAUCUGAGGCCAAGGCCAUGCUGCUUCUCGUUCUUCUGAUCCAAUGAGAAUGAUCCCACCUGAUCCCACUCGGAGGAAGUCAAGAAGCUACAGAGCUUUAGGAGCAAAGGUGGAAGGGGAAGGGGUACUGAUACUCCUGGUGCGAGAAAGGACUGAAUAAGGAAAACACACCUUCUGGAGAUCAAUAUUCUGCUGUUCAGCCGACGGCAGAGACAGAGCUUCAUUUUCCUCAUCAACAGCAACCCAACCUAGUAUUCGGUCGAGGGAGGAAUCCGUCUGGCGCUUCGGAAAACCCUGGCUGACCUCCAAGGGACGGCUUUAAACCCUUUCGCAGAGAAUUAUCGACUAACCCCAGAGGCUACGCUUCCAUAUUCGGUGAUCCCGAGGGGUAUCGCUGUUCAUUUCACCCAACUCCACCUGCCCGAUCUGAAGAUGCUUCGGAAUUCACUUCGUCCCCGCCCCACGUCAUCUCCUGGGAGCGCCAUCGCUCCACCGCUUGCUCCGAGACUUGAGGCCAGAAAGAGUAGGUGUAGGAGAGUGGACGGAGGCCAGCUAGAGGACCGUCCCCCGCUGCCAAGUUUGGAAUGAAUUACCGUUCACUCGA